AAGUCGUAACAAGGUUUCCGUAGGUGAACCUGCGGAAGGAUCAUUACAACGUAUCCAACCGUUAAACCGAUCGGUGCACUUUAUUGUACAUCAGAGGGUCCGUUUUUCACUGGAUUAAUUUCCUUUGAGGCGGGUAGCUUUCUGGUGAAUUUUCCGUAAGAAGCCUAACCAUGAUAAAAUUUUGUUCUUAAAAGCACUCUUCUUCGAAAGGGGAAGGGGGCGAAAUAAAAAACCGCACAACUCUUAACAAUGGAUAUCUUGGUUCUC
RNAcentral lists this unclassified non-coding RNA (267 nucleotides) under fungal sp. Its description in RNAcentral is "partial internal transcribed spacer region". The stretch from base 1 to 46 matches the Rfam family "Eukaryotic small subunit ribosomal RNA", at positions 1786 to 1831 of the family's 1831-position model. The record is from RNAcentral. Lineage: Eukaryota; Fungi.